AUCCUCUUCCUCCUCAUCUUCUCACUCUCACAAACACUUUCUCUCUCCUCCUUCUCUUCUUCCUCUUCCCAACACUCUCAAAUUCAAACCCAUUUCAUCUUCUGCAAAAAACCCACCUUGAAUUCAACCUCAACCAUGGCAGGGAGCUUCAAUCAAACCCUUAAUCACAUUUAUUUUAACUGGGGUUAUCAUCUGGUUCAUCCCAACCCCUCGCAAUCUUCCUCUCCACCAUUAUAUUGUUGGAAUCAUCACUCAACCUCUUCCUUUAGGUGCAGUCAUUUUAAUGGAGUACAGCCGGCACCAGCGACCGGAGGAGGGGGGUUUUGGGCGGGCCGGCCCUGGGGGCAGGUGGUCAGGCUUUGAGUGGGUGGUAGUGGGGUGGCUGACAUUUGGAAGGGUGUUUGGCUCUUUUUUUUUUUAAUUUCUUUUUUUUUUGUAAAAAUUAUCAAAAAAAAAAGAAGCCUUGACCAAUGAUUUAAUGACACGUGGAUUUUUACAUGGUAUAAUAGGUAAGGUGACCAGUACGGUUCAUUUUGGGAGAAUAAAGGUAAACUUGUGUUUAUUUUGGGCAGAUUUAAAGGUUGGUUCAUUUUGGGAGAAUAGAGCAAAGGUUGGUUUAUCGUUGUUAAAUUUUCCUUUUAUUUUUGUUUGUUUUAGGUUGUAAUAACUCUUCCUAUUUUAGGAGGAACGUUUCUCCCUUAAAAUAAAGAGUUUUUCUUCUUUUUAAGAAAGAUUUUUCUCAUUCGAAAGAAAAUAUUUUCCUUUUAUGUUUUGAGGAGGAACAUGAAUUCUUGUUUGAUGGAUUGAUGUAAAAUUAAUUCAUGGGUAAAGAUUUGUGUGAGAUUGAAAAAGAGGUUAAUAUUUCAAUUACAACUAGACGAAUUAGACGAGAUUUUUGUUCACGGCUACAACAGAUUGAUAGACCCCCUUGUCGAAGAAGGUUGUGUACCACAACAAUGUGAAAAAUGCUAUAAUGCGACAACGAUUGUAGUUUUGCUGAAAUAAUUUUUUAUUUGAUUCAAUUAUCAUGUGCUCCCUCCUUUUUUCUUGAGUGUCCCAUUUCCUAAAAUCGAUAGUUUAUUUAUUUUUUUAUUUUCAAGCAUCCUAAUAUCAGAUUUAGAAACUUCAUUCACACAUUACUGUAUUAUUUCUCUCUCCACCUUUUGACCCACCAUAUAAAAAAAAAAAACAGUAUAAUACUCCGUAUUAUUUUACUCUUUUUGCCUAAAACUCCAUGUACACUUCAAUACUUGUGAAUAGUGCCGUUCCAUAUUUACCCUACAAAAAUUCAAUUACUGUCUUGCUCUUUGCUGCCAUCUUUACGUAUAAGUAUUUCUUCUCUUCCCCUCUCUCUCUGUUUCUCUCUUCCAAGUUUUCCAUUAAUGCGCACUCUAAGCUUUCUUUCCUCCAUUCAAGUUGAGGAUUAUCAGAGAGGCAACAUGGAGAAAUGUCGGGUAUAUGUUCAUCUGUCAAAACUCAGGUAGAGGACCUUGAAGUUUUCAAGAGGAUUCUGGGCAGGUUGUACAUAUUGAAAAUGAGGCAGACUACUCUCCAGCUCAGAUAUUUGAAGGUUUAUAUGGAUAGGUUUUGCAAAGAAAGAGUCUGAAUUUCUGAAGGAGAUUGAUAUUAGCCCACACAAUAUCGGUUGUUAUGUACUUAUGUGAGCUGAAAUUGGAAAGCUAACGAUCCUACUUCAGACUGGUAUGCCUCAUUUAACAGUUUAGAAGUUCCUUUCAUUUUUUUUAAUUUUUUUUUUUUUUUUAUAUAUAAGAAGACAACGUUGAUGCAUAUUCUAUAAUAACCUCUAACACUUAAGUAUAACUCUUAUGUUGUAUUAUGUUAUUUGGUGUGCCUUAGAAUUUUUUAUCCUAUCAUAAUAUGUGUGAUCUCGUGUAUGUGAAGUGUACUAUUUUCAGCCCCGUUCCUAGAAAUUUAUUGGCCCUAGGCAUAAUGUAAGAAAAGGGCCCCUUACAUAAACAAAUUUUUUACAUGCAAUAGCUUUAAAUGUAAGAAAAUCAAAAUAACUUAAAUUAUUUGAAUAGUAAGUCUCCAUACACAAUACUGGAGUAAUAACUUUGCAUAAUAUUUCGGUAAUUGAAUAAAUAGGAAGAGUGUAAUUGAAAAGAUUAAUAUUUUGAAACAGAUUCUCAUAAAAAUCGGAAGAUUAGAAGAAGAAGAAGAGGUUAUAUUGCAUAAUUAUCUCCACCUAAUUGACAUCUAAGUAAUUUAAUAUUAAUUGCUAAUAAAUUGCAUUUAUUAUCUUUUUUAAAAGUAGCUAUUUUUUUAACGAGUAAAAACUACAGUUUAGACAGUUUAAAUUCUGCACUAUGCAAAUUGAUUUUUUUUUUGAAUUUUUGGGUCCCCUUCUAGCGUGGGCCCUAGGCGGUCGCACUCGAGGCCUACCCCUCCGGGCCGGCCCGGACUAUUUUAUUGUCUCGUAACAAGUCUAUUUGGUGUGAUUGGUGUUUGUAUGUGAGGUUUGUGUUUUGGCACAGUUAGUGUGGCAAGGGUGAGAGUAAGUUGUGCAUGUGGACUAGAUAGACGUUACUUUUAUGUAAUCAAUCAUGUGUCUGCUUUGUAGUGGGCUGUAUUGUGUCUGUAGUAUGUGUUGUUAGAUGACAGGGGGUGUGAGUGAUGGUGCAGAACAGCAAGAGUGGAUCAAUGAAGCCAUAUUUAACUCCAUUCUUCCUAUGAUUUGAUGCUUUGUCUUCGCCUUAGCAUUAGGUAAUUUUUACUUUUAACCCCUCUCGCUUUUCUAUGUAUUGCUAAUACCUCUGUCAAUUAUUAUGUGCAACUUUAAGUAUUAUUUGUGAGAUAUUAUUUAUUCCAAAGUUGCACAUAAUAAUAAUUACGGAGGUAUUAUAAUUAUGUCGAGUUCCAUUAAAGUUUUUGGAUAGCCUAUUUGCUCAAAUGGUAGAGCAAUGUGUCAUUGCACAUAUAUGUGGGUUCGAGUCCUACAUAGGUUGGAACUAUAAAUAUAAUGAUUUUAAAGUUUCAAAAGGAAAAAAAAUAAAUAUUUUACACAUUCUAUCUAAUUAAGACGCAACUCAAUAGGUCAAGCUAGAUCUUUUUGAAGCUAGAUCUUUUUGAAGCUAGAUCUGGUCGCCUCUUGAGAAUUAUUGUAUUAGACAGCUUUAAAAUACCAUACGUGUUGCUUCUAAAAAAUAGGUGACUCAUAAAAAUAGCUUACAAAGCGCCUCUGAAGAAACAACACUCAUAAAGCCAUUAAAGAAACCUUCGACUUAUAAUCUAUAAUAUAUGUGUAGAAAAGCUACUCAUAAACUCUUGCUCACCUAGUGUCGCUACCUAUCAAGUUGCCCAGGAUGCUACACAUUAAUAAAUGGUUUAAAGGCGACUUGAUAGGUGUUUUUUGGUUCUUAUGAUAAAAAAUUUAGGGGUGAGCAAAUUUUUUAAGGGUGAGAUAAUGUAAAUAAUUUUUCAGGGUGAGAUAUAUCUAAUAAGAUGUUUAGCAAAAUUAAAUACUAAUUUGUAAAAUAAAAACUUCCUCUGUUUUGACGCGUUUAAUUUAGACAUACAUAUUAAGGAGAAGAGAGAGAAUGAUAAAGCAAGUGGGGUACACAAAUAAGUACAAGGUAUAACCUUAUAAGACUUACCCAUUACACAAAAAGGAAAUGUGUCAACUAAAAUUAAAGUUCCUAAAAAAAGAAAUACGUGUCAACUAAAAAAACAGAGAUAAGUAUAUGCAUUAUAGGUGUUUGGUAAUAAAAACACGUCAACUUCAAACCGGCAAUACAAAAUCGAAUCCUAACUGGUCCGCACGCAUUGCGCAGGGGCAUUCGAACUAGGGAAUAUAAAAGUUCAAUUGUGAACUGGUAUACUCCCUCCGUUACGAUUUAGUCGCUACAAAAGGGUGAACUGGGGACUCCUAGGCAAAACUUUUAAGGGGUUGGAUUAAAGGGGAGGGGUAUGUAAUUAGUGGAAUCAAAAAGGGAGGGAAAAGAAGUGGUCCUAAAAAUAAAGGUGACCCAUGUGACUUUUUUUUUCCUCUCUUCUCUUCCCUCUUUUUUUGAUUGCUGCUAGGAAUGGCAAUGGAUCGAAUUCGGGUCGGAUGGAGCUUCACCGGCAUCCACCCGAAUUAAUCAUCCGCUCCACCCGUCACCCGCAAAACCCAUCACCCGCAUCCGAUCCAUCCGUCAUCCGCGGAUGAAACGGGUGGAUCGGAUGCUUAACGGGUGAUAAUUAUAAUCCUACUCUAACUAUAAAAUCUAUUAUGUUAGAAUUAAAAAAAAAAACUUUUAGCCAAUUUUAAACUUAAAAAGUAAACCAU
This is an RNA transcript of Chenopodium quinoa (quinoa), 4288 nucleotides long. It is a transcript of the gene named protein MAIN-LIKE 1-like, with no coding region annotated. The transcript has 3 exons. The record is from RefSeq and is a predicted model, not a curated record. NCBI's taxonomy places the organism in Eukaryota, Viridiplantae, Streptophyta, Magnoliopsida, Caryophyllales, Amaranthaceae.